UACGUAGGGUGCAAGCGUUUGUCCGGAAUUAUUGGGCGUAAAGAGCUCGUAGGCGGUUUGUCGCGUCGAAUGUGAAAACCCGGGGCUCAACCCCGGGCCUGCAUUCGAUACGGGGCAGACUAGAGUGUGGUAGGGGGAGACUGGAAUUCCUGGUGUAGCGGUGGAAUGCGCAGAUAUCAGGAGGAACACCGAUGGGCGAAGGCAGGUCUCUGGGCCACUACUGACGCUGAGAAGCGAAAGCAUGGGGAGCGAACAGG
This 257-nucleotide ribosomal RNA is filed under the name uncultured bacterium. Its description in RNAcentral is "partial 16S ribosomal RNA". It matches the Rfam family "Bacterial small subunit ribosomal RNA", at positions 524 to 776 of the family's 1533-position model. The record is from RNAcentral.